UCCGGAUUUAUUGGGUUUAAAGGGUCCGCAGGCGGAAUAUUAAGUCAGUGGUGAAAGCCUACAGCUCAACUGUAGAACUGCCAUUGAAACUGUUAUUCUUGAGUAUGGAUGAAGUGGGCGGAAUAUGUCAUGUAGCGGUGAAAUGCAUAGAUAUGACAUGGAACACCAAUUGCGAAGGCAGCUCACUAAACCAUUACUGACGCUCAUGGACGAAAGCGUGGGGAGCGAACAGGAUUAGAUACCCUGGUAGUCCACGCCGUAAACGAUGAUCACUAGAUGUUGGCGAUAUAAUGUCAGCGUUCAAGAGAAAUCGAUAA
Molecule: ribosomal RNA, 317 nt
Filed under: uncultured Flavobacteriia bacterium
Lineage: Bacteria; Pseudomonadati; Bacteroidota; Flavobacteriia
Description: bacterial SSU rRNA
Rfam family: Bacterial small subunit ribosomal RNA
Source: RNAcentral